CUGGCCUACGGGACGCAGCAGUAGGGAAUUUUCGUCAAUGGGCGCAAGCCUGAACGAGCAAUGCCGCGUGAACGAGGAAGGUCUUCGGAUCGUAAAGUUCUGUUGAAGGGGAAAAAGAGCGGAGAGAGGAAAUGGUCUCCGAUUGAUAUUACCCUUCGAGGAAGUCACGGCUAACUACGUGCCAGCAGCCGCGGUAAUGCGUAGGUGGCGAGCGUUGUCCGGAUUUACUGGGUGUAAGGGAGCGCAGA
Molecule: ribosomal RNA, 248 nt
Filed under: uncultured bacterium
Lineage: Bacteria
Description: partial 16S ribosomal RNA
Rfam family: Bacterial small subunit ribosomal RNA
Source: RNAcentral